UAGGGAAUCUUCCACAAUGGACGAAAGUCUGAUGGAGCAACGCCGCGUGAGUGAAGAAGGGUUUCGGCUCGUAAAACUCUGUUGUUAAAGAAGAACAUAUCUGAGAGUAACUGUUCAGGUAUUGACGGUAUUUAACCAGAAAGCCACGGCUAACUACGNGCCAG
Molecule: ribosomal RNA, 164 nt
Filed under: uncultured bacterium
Lineage: Bacteria
Description: partial 16S ribosomal RNA
Rfam family: Bacterial small subunit ribosomal RNA
Source: RNAcentral